This 253-nucleotide ribosomal RNA is filed under the name uncultured prokaryote. Its description in RNAcentral is "partial 16S ribosomal RNA". It matches the Rfam family "Bacterial small subunit ribosomal RNA", at positions 525 to 777 of the family's 1533-position model. The record is from RNAcentral.
ACGAAGGGGGCUAGCGUUGUUCGGAAUCACUGGGCGUAAAGCGCACGUAGGCGGAUUGUUAAGUCGGGGGUGAAAUCCUGAGGCUCAGCCUCAUAACUGCCUUCGAUACUGGCAAUCUCGAGUCCGGAAGAGGUUGGUGGAACAGCUAGUGUAGAGGUGAAAUUCGUAGAUAUUAACUAGAACACCAGUGGCGAAGGCGGCCAACUGGUCCGGUACCGACGCUGAGGUGCGAAAGCGUGGGGAGCAAACAGGA